Molecule: long non-coding RNA, 3828 nt
Filed under: Sus scrofa (pig)
Lineage: Eukaryota; Metazoa; Chordata; Mammalia; Artiodactyla; Suidae
Description: lncRNA (ENSSSCG00000062903.1)
Source: RNAcentral
CAAUUUCUGCCUUGGUGUCAGCCCUGGAUGAGCUGUGGGUAUAGUAAAAACAGAGCCAGGUGGCAGCUUGGGACCACUGAGAUACAGGGAGGGAAGUGAGAUCUAAGUCAGCAGAUUUAGUAGGGUGUUUUUUUGUUUGUUUGUUUCUGCUUUUUGCCUUUUUUUUUUGUAGGAACAUUUUUUAGUGUGUUUUUUCCUUAUGUCUAGUUUUUACAAAGAUUUAGAGAACAUAGGUCAAUAGAAGGAAUACAAUCACCCCAAAUCUAUCACCCAUUGUAACAACUAAUAGCAUCUUGGUGUCCUUUCUCUAGUGUCCUAAUAUUAUUACCUAUGACAUUCCUGAAAACAAAUAGGAUCAUACUGUAAGUCCUGUUUUAUAGUUAAUAUGUGUUGAAGACCCAAUGGUUGCUGAUAGAGAGGAGGAGGAGGUCGGUGAGUAAUUACUCAAGGCACACUGAUCAUUUGUGCUGGCUGAGAAAACUGCUAAUUAAUUAAUGGAACAAACACAUGUCAUGUGCAUAGGAGGGUAUUGGUAUGUAGUUAGCACUAGAUGUUUUCUUAUAAAAUCCUUCAACAAUCCUGUGGAUAGAAUUAGCACAGACAUGCAAUAUCAUCAUUUAUUUAAUUUUUUUUCUAUUUACAGCUGCACCUGCAGCACAUGGGAGUUCCCAGGCUAGUGAUCGAGUUGGAGCUGCAGCAGCAGACCUCUGCCACAGCCAUGCCAACAUUGGAUCCAAGAUACACUGCAGCUUGUGGCAACACCAGAUCCUUAACCCACUGAAUGAGGCUAGGGGUUGAACCCACAUUCUCACGGAGACAAGAUCCUUAAUCUGCUGAGCCCCAAAUCACCUCCAGAAUAUUAUUUUUUUUGAGGAAGGUGGCUUUGUAACACAACACUUUAUUUAAAGCUGCACCUGCAGCAUAUGGAAGUUCCCAGGCUAGGGGUUGAAUUAGAGCUGCCACUGCCGGCCUAUGCCACAGCCACAGCAAUGCCAGAUCCGAGCUGCAUCUUCAACCGACACCACAGUUUAUGGCAAUGUUGGAUCUUUAUCCCACUGAGCAAGGCCAGGGAUCGAACCCGAAACCUCAUGGAUACUAGUUGGGCUCAUUACUGCUGAGCACCAAGGAGAACUCCUAUAAUGCACACUUUAAAGUAGCUUCUCUGAUUGUUUUUCAUGCACUGAAUAACUCCUGUCUAAUUUUGAAGCAAAGGCCCCCUUUUGUGCCUUAAGACCUUAGAUGAAAAUUUCAUUUGGGAUAGCCUCAUUGUCAUCAUUUCAGGGAGGAAAGGAACAAGAGCAAUGCUUUGGGUAAGAUGAUUUCCAAAAGGAUGGAUGACCAGGUCUCACUACUGCCAAGUAGCUAAGGGGAUUGCUUGUCUAUAUGCUGGAGAAAGUCAAGGUUAAUACUUUGCAACAGAUAGGUAGAAAGGUCACAGGAGACAGUUGAGAAACACAGAUGGUGAAAUAUUGAGCAGUUUUCUCCCCCAAUAUUGAUUUUUAAAAAGUAACUUCCCCAGAGUAGCGCAUGUUGUGAACAACUCUAGAUGAAAUCAUAACUUCCUAUAUUUGCAAGCAGUAAAAUGCCUGUAAUUGCAUCCCUCAGGUAUAAUUUGGGGCCACGCCCAGGCCCACUGUGGGACGCAGGUGCAGAAAGCAGAAACCCUGCAGCCGUCCUGGCACAAGCUGGCUUCACAUCUUCUCGUCCAGGAAGAGCUGAUCAGGACACGGGAUUUGGAGCCACAGACCAGGAUUCGGGUCCUGGCUCUCUCACUGAAUAGUGCCUUAUAGGGUCCCACUCAAGCAUUUUCAUCACCAUUUUGUCACUUGUAGAGUGUGUGACAAUACCUGCUUCACAGAGUUAAGGAAAGCAUGAAAUGAAUCCACAUACAGCUUUUAGCAUUUUGGCACAUAGACUGGCUGUGAUUGUUGUCCUUAACUCCCAGUAGUUGAAUGAUUGCUCAGAAACACACCUUCCUUUAGACUAGAAAUUCCUGCUUGUCUGGGAGACAUGGGGUCAUGACAAGGCUUUCCAAUAUCUUUGUUCUAAGAGGGCAGGUGGAUUUCAUUACUUGACACCGCUCAUCUCCCUGCCCCAUUUCAGCAGUGGGAAAUUGCCAGCAUAACAGAUUAGCCCAUGUAGGGAAGUAGCUAAAAGGACAGAUAUGGACCCAGCCUGCUUGGGUUUGAACUCUCGGUCUGCCUCCCACUGGCUGUGUGACUGAGGGCAAGUCACUGACACUCUCUUGGGCCCCCUGGUCAAUUUAGAUCCUAGAAGGCCGUUUGUAUUCAAUCUCUCUUGAUCUCAAUCAGUCCCUCACCGCACAAAUGUUAGGUGUGCACUCCUGGAUAUACACUUGUUUUUAGAGCUUCACUAGCUGUAAGAAUUCAUUAUCACUCCCACAAACAUUUUGGGGCAUCUAAGAUACACAGGCCCUGGGGAUUCUGAGUUGAAAGCUAUUGUGUUCAAUGGGUUCUGUUUGAUUCUUUUUUAAUUUUUAAUUUUUAAAAACUUUAUUGGAAUAUAGUUGACUUAAAAAGUUGUGUUAGUUUCACUGUUUGGUUAUUUAUAUGAGAAGCCAAAAUAGACAUCUCAUCUGUAAGUGGUUAUAGCAUUCAGAGUAUGCCGUUGAUUUAUACCAGGCACUCAGGGAAAAUAUCCAGAAGGUAAAGUUUGAGUUGAGUCCCUGUAUCAGCCAGGUCUCAUUUGGUUCUGAGUGACAGAAAUCCAACCCAAAUAAGCCUAAUGGAAAAAAGGGGAACUUAUUGGCUCAUGUAACUGGGAAAUUCAGGUGUACGCUUCAGGUGUGGCCAGAUCUAGGAAUCCAAUGAUAUAAUCUAGGGACUUUCCUUUUUCUAUCAUUUCUCUCAAUUCUUUCCCCCUCUGAGUCACUCUCUGUCACAAACAAGCUUUGUCACUGUGGCCAGGGGAGAGGGCUUCAUGCAUGUCCUCCUGGCUUGGCCUCCCUAGUGGAAAAGAGAACUGGGCUUUCUCAAUGUCCAGAGACCAGUUAUAGGGGAAGGAUUAUGAUUAUCAGGAGAUAAACAAAUAACUGUGUUUCCCCUGUCCGAACCAGUGCUCUUUGUUCAGUGCCAUAUUAGCAGUACCUAGAACAGUAUGACCUAGAACAUAACAUUGUAAAUUCUCAGUAAAUAUUUGUUAACUGAAUGAACCAGCUACAUUUUGGCCAUGUGCCCACUUCCUAUUUACAGGAGUGGGAUUUGCUACCGAAAGAAGGAGAUUGGUAGACGGAUAUUCUGAGCACCCCAAAUCGUGAUGACUUCUGUGGUCGUGAAACACGAGGAAGAUUUAGCCUUGAGCAGAGGAGUGGAAACUUCUCGGGCAUGGAGGACAGUAUGUGUAAAGGGAUGCAGUGGGGUUGGGUGGGUUGAGGACUAUGUGUAAUUUGGUCUGGAUAGGAAGGAUAUUGGAGGACAGGAGGACAGGGUGGAAAAUGGGCUUCUGGAGGAUCUUGGGUUGGGACCUCUGAUGUCACUUUUUGUCCUCCUGUGCCCCCCUCCCUUCUGCAUUCUGCUCACUGCCCUGGGCUGCUGCCCAGCAGGGGCUCUGUGACCAGUCUCCUCUGCUGUCUGGUUUCUGAUUGGGUCUGAAUGGUGGGGAUUGGUAGGAGAUGGAGGGAAGGAGGGAGGAGGGGAAGCUUGGGGCGUUCACUCCUCUGACUCUGUCCUUGCGGGGCUGUUUUGUCCCUAGAAAGAGGUAAGAAAAGACAUUAAAAGUAAGAGUUUAUAAACUUUUAUAGCAAUUUGGCAGAGAUAUUUUAUAUCUUUUAGCUGUUGAAUCUAAUAAGAAAAAACUGGGGCUUGUAUU